This 284-nucleotide ribosomal RNA is filed under the name uncultured bacterium. RNAcentral's name for it is "partial 16S ribosomal RNA". It matches the Rfam family "Bacterial small subunit ribosomal RNA", at positions 28 to 324 of the family's 1533-position model. The record is from RNAcentral.
GACGAACGCUGGCGGCGUGCUUAACACAUGCAAGUCACGGGGGCCCGCAAGGGCAACCGGCGAACGGGUGCGUAACACGUGAGCAACCUGCCGAUCUGUGGGGGAUAGCCGGGCUAACGCCCGGGUAAUACCGCAUACGUUCUCUUGGGGGAGUCCCUAAGAGAGGAAACCUCCGGGGCAGAUCGAGGGGCUCGCGGCCUAUCAGCUAGUUGGCGGGGUAAUGGCCCACCAAGGCGACGACGGGUAGCUGGCUGAGAGGAUGGCCAGCCACAUUGGGACUGAGA